CAGCAGCCGCGGUAAUACGAAGGGGGCUAGCGUUGCUCGGAAUGACUGGGCGUAAAGGGCGCGUAGGCGGUUUAUACAGUCAGAUGUGAAAUUCCUGGGCUCAACCUGGGGACUGCAUUUGACACGUAUGGACUUGAGUGGAGAAGAGGGUCGUGGAAUUUCCAGUGUAGAGGUGAAAUUCGUAGAUAUUGGAAAGAACACCGGUGGCGAAGGCGGCGACCUGGUCUUUAACUGACGCUGAGGCGCGAAAGCGUGGGGAGCAAACAGGAUUAGAGACCCCAGUAGUCCCUGUCUCUUAUAC
RNAcentral lists this ribosomal RNA (301 nucleotides) under uncultured bacterium. RNAcentral's name for it is "partial 16S ribosomal RNA". It matches the Rfam family "Bacterial small subunit ribosomal RNA", at positions 509 to 807 of the family's 1533-position model. The record is from RNAcentral.